GAAAGGUGAAGGACCCGGUCUUCGGACUGGGAGCGUACACAGGUGCUGCAUGGCUGUCGUCAGCUCGUGUCGUGAGAUGUUGGGUUAAGUCCGCAACGAGCGCAACCCCUGCUGCCAGUUGCCAACGGGUGAAGCCGGGCACUCUGGCGGGACUGCCAUCGACAAGAUGGAGGAAGGUGGGGGAGUGACGUCAAGUCAUCAUGGCCCUUACUGUCCAGGGCGGACACACGUGCUACAAUGGCCGGCACAGCGGGAAGCGAGGCAGUGAUGCCAAGCGGAUCCCUUAAAGCCGGUCUCAGUUCGGAUUGAAGUCUGCAACUCGACUUCAUGAAGCUGGAAUCGCUAGUAAUCGCAGAUCAGCCAAGCUGCGGUGAAUACGUUCCCGGGCCUU
This 391-nucleotide ribosomal RNA is filed under the name uncultured Synergistaceae bacterium. RNAcentral's name for it is "bacterial SSU rRNA". It matches the Rfam family "Bacterial small subunit ribosomal RNA", at positions 1003 to 1382 of the family's 1533-position model. Lineage: Bacteria; Thermotogati; Synergistota; Synergistia; Synergistales; Synergistaceae. The record is from RNAcentral.